CCUACGGGUGGCAGCAGUGAGGAAUAUUGGUCAAUGGACGAGAGUCUGAACCAGCCAAGUAGCGUGAAGGAUGACUGCCCUAUGGGUUGUAAACUUCUUUUAUAUGGGAAUAAAAUGUUCCACGUGUGGGAUUUUGUAUGUACCAUAUGAAUAAGGAUCGGCUAACUCCGUGCCAGCAGCCGCGGUAAUACGGAGGAUCCGAGCGUUAUCCGGAUUUAUUGGGUUUAAAGGGAGCGUAGGUGGAGUGUUAAGUCAGUUGUGAAAGUUUACGGCUCAACCGUAAAAUUGCAGUUGAAACUGGCAGUCUUGAGUACAGUAGAGGUGGGCGGAAUUCGUGGUGUAGCGGUGAAAUGCUUAGAUAUCACGAAGAACUCCGAUUGCGAAGGCAGUUCACUGGACUGCAACUGACACUGAGGCUCGAAAGUGUGGGUAUCAAACAGGAUUAGAUACCCUAGUAGUC
This 460-nucleotide ribosomal RNA is filed under the name uncultured bacterium. RNAcentral's name for it is "partial 16S ribosomal RNA". It matches the Rfam family "Bacterial small subunit ribosomal RNA", at positions 338 to 795 of the family's 1533-position model. The record is from RNAcentral.